GGGCCCAUAGCUCAGUUGGUUAGAGCAGUCGACUCAUAAUCGAUUGGUCGAAGGUUCAAGUCCUUCUGGGCCCACCA
RNAcentral lists this transfer RNA (77 nucleotides) under Luminiphilus syltensis NOR5-1B. RNAcentral describes it as "tRNA-Met". It matches the Rfam family "tRNA". Rfam says of the family: Transfer RNA (tRNA) molecules are approximately 80 nucleotides in length. The record is from RNAcentral. RNAcentral also lists the same sequence under 5 other names. Lineage: Bacteria; Pseudomonadati; Pseudomonadota; Gammaproteobacteria; Cellvibrionales; Halieaceae.